AUGUGGCGCAGCCGCGUGUCGCGGGGCCUCCGGGAGGCCAAGGCCGCCGCCGCCGCCGCGUCCAGGCGCUUCUCCACCACCUCGUCCUACACGGUGGUGGAUCACACCUACGAUGCGGUCGUGGUUGGAGCUGGAGGCGCGGGGCUCAGGGCCGCGAUUGGGCUCUCGGAGCAUGGGUUCAACACCGCCUGCAUCACCAAGCUCUUCCCCACGCGGUCGCACACUGUGGCAGCACAGGGAGGUAUAAACGCUGCUCUUGGAAACAUGAGCGAAGAUGACUGGAGGUGGCAUAUGUAUGAUACAGUCAAAGGAAGUGAUUGGCUCGGUGACCAAGAUGCUAUCCAGUAUAUGUGUAGAGAAGCACCAAAGGCUGUUAUAGAGCUUGAGAACUAUGGAUUACCAUUUUCCAGAACUGAAGAUGGAAAAAUUUAUCAACGUGCUUUUGGAGGCCAAAGCUUAGAUUUUGGAAAAGGUGGUCAGGCCUAUCGAUGCGCAUGCGCUGCUGACAGAACAGGGCAUGCUAUGCUACACACACUUUAUGGUCAAGCGAUGAAGCACAAUACUCAGUUUUUUGUUGAAUAUUUUGCGCUGGACCUUAUCAUGGACAAAGAAGGCACCUGCCAGGGGGUUAUUGCACUAAACAUGGAGGAUGGUACCCUUCAUCGUUUCCGUUCAACAAAUACUAUUUUAGCAACAGGAGGUUAUGGCAGAGCUUACUUCUCUGCUACUUCAGCUCACACAUGUACUGGUGAUGGCAAUGCUAUGGUUGCACGUGCUGGGUUACCCCUUCAGGAUCUUGAGUUUGUGCAGUUCCAUCCUACAGGCAUUUACGGUGCUGGAUGCCUUAUAACUGAAGGCUCCCGGGGCGAAGGUGGUAUUCUUAGGAACAGCGAAGGUGAGAGGUUCAUGGAACGAUAUGCCCCUACCGCCAAAGAUCUUGCAUCUCGUGAUGUUGUUUCAAGAUCUAUGACUAUGGAAAUUAGAGAAGGACGUGGUGUAGGACCAAUGAAGGACCAUCUCUACCUGCACCUUAAUCAUCUUCCUCCAGAAGUUCUAAAGGAAAGGCUUCCUGGUAUAUCUGAGACUGCUGCUAUUUUUGCUGGCGUUGAUGUCACCAAAGAGCCUAUUCCUGUUUUACCAACUGUGCACUAUAAUAUGGGCGGUAUCCCGACAAAUUAUCAUGGGCAGGUGGUGGAUAUCAAGGGUGAUAACCCAGACACAGUUAUUCCUGGUCUGAUGGCUGCUGGGGAGGCAGCUUGUGCAUCUGUUCAUGGUGCAAACCGUCUUGGUGCAAAUUCACUUCUUGACAUUGUUGUCUUUGGGAGGGCUUGCGCAAACAGGGUUGCUGAGAUUUCCAAGCCAGGAGAGACACAGAAACCUCUUGAAAAAGACGCAGGGGAGAAGACCAUCGCUUGGUUGGACAAGCUGAGAAAUGCAAAUGGAUCACUGCCUACUUCGAAGAUUCGCCUCAACAUGCAACGUAUUAUGCAAAAUAAUGCUGCAGUUUUCCGUACACAGGAAACUCUAACAGAAGGUUGCGAGCUGAUUAGUGAAGCGCAGAAAAGUUUCCAUGAUGUCAAGCUCAGUGACAGAAGUCUCAUAUGGAAUUCGGACUUGAUAGAGACCAUAGAAUUAGAAAACCUGCUAAUAAAUGCAUGCAUAACCAUGCAUUCAGCCGAGGCUCGCCAAGAGAGCAGAGGAGCUCAUGCUCGCGAAGAUUUCAAGACAAGAGAUGACGACAAGUGGAUGAAGCACUCGCUAGGGUACUGGGAGGACGAAAAGGUUAGACUAGAAUACAGGCCAGUUCACAUGAACACCUUGGAUGAUGAAGUCGAGACUUUCCCGCCGAAGGCACGUGUUUACUAA
This 1866-nucleotide ribosomal RNA is filed under the name Triticum aestivum (bread wheat). RNAcentral describes it as "partial small subunit ribosomal RNA". Lineage: Eukaryota; Viridiplantae; Streptophyta; Magnoliopsida; Poales; Poaceae. The record is from RNAcentral.